Molecule: transfer RNA, 74 nt
Filed under: Methanobrevibacter curvatus
Lineage: Archaea; Methanobacteriati; Methanobacteriota; Methanobacteria; Methanobacteriales; Methanobacteriaceae
Rfam family: tRNA
About the family: Transfer RNA (tRNA) molecules are approximately 80 nucleotides in length.
Source: Rfam by way of RNAcentral
GCCGGGGUGGGGUAGCUUGGUUAUCCUACGGGACUGUGGAUCCUGCGACUCGGGUUCGAAUCUCGGCCCCGGCC